RNAcentral lists this transfer RNA (66 nucleotides) under Curculionidae sp. KM-2017. RNAcentral's name for it is "tRNA-His". The record is from RNAcentral. Lineage: Eukaryota; Metazoa; Arthropoda; Insecta; Coleoptera; Curculionidae.
AUUUAAGUAGUUUAUAUAAAAAUAUUAAUUUGUGGAAUUAAAGUAAUAAUUUAUUUAUCUUAAAUA